This is a long non-coding RNA of Frieseomelitta varia, 145 nucleotides long. RefSeq lists it as uncharacterized. The transcript is spliced from 3 exons. The record is from RefSeq and is a predicted model, not a curated record. NCBI's taxonomy places the organism in Eukaryota, Metazoa, Arthropoda, Insecta, Hymenoptera, Apidae.
UCUCGUCGCUAUAUACCACAUUAUAUUUCUCUCUGUGCGUUCAUUCAGUUCUGUGUUACGUUACUUUAUAACGAUAUGCGUAUAUCGGGCGAUAUCUACGCGUAGCGCGAUAAACGAACAAGCGCGCGACCGGAAGACACACGUC